This 84-nucleotide transfer RNA is filed under the name Tropheryma whipplei. Its description in RNAcentral is "tRNA-Leu". It matches the Rfam family "tRNA". From Rfam's summary of the family: Transfer RNA (tRNA) molecules are approximately 80 nucleotides in length. Their secondary structure includes four short double-helical elements and three loops (D, anti-codon, and T loops). Further hydrogen bonds mediate the characteristic L-shaped molecular structure. tRNAs have two regions of fundamental functional importance: the anti-codon, which is responsible for specific mRNA codon recognition, and the 3' end, to which the tRNAs corresponding amino acid is attached (by aminoacyl-tRNA synthetases). tRNAs cope with the degeneracy of the genetic code in two manners: having more than one tRNA (with a specific anti-codon) for a particular amino acid; and 'wobble' base-pairing, i.e. permitting non-standard base-pairing at the 3rd anti-codon position. RNAcentral also lists the same sequence under 2 other names. Lineage: Bacteria; Bacillati; Actinomycetota; Actinomycetes; Micrococcales; Tropherymataceae. The record is from RNAcentral.
GCGCGAGUGGCGGAAUUGGUAGACGCGCACGGUUCAGGUCCGUGUGUCUGCGAAGACAUGGGGGUUCAAGUCCCCCCUCGCGCA